CAGCUGUAAACGAUGCAGACUAGGUGUUUGGACGGCCACGUGCCGUUCUAGUGCCGCAGGGAAGCUGUUAAGUCUGCCGCCUGGGGAGUACGAUCGCAAGAUUGAAACUUAAAGGAAUUGGCGGGGGAGCACCACAAGGGGUGAAGCUUGCGGUUUAAUUGGAGUCAACGCCGGAAAUCUUACCGGGACCGACAGCAACAUGAAGGCCAGGCUGAAGACUUUGCCGGAUUAGCUGAGAGGAGGUGCAUGGCGUGUGACUGU
RNAcentral lists this ribosomal RNA (261 nucleotides) under uncultured archaeon. RNAcentral describes it as "partial 16S ribosomal RNA". It matches the Rfam family "Archaeal small subunit ribosomal RNA", at positions 748 to 1008 of the family's 1478-position model. The record is from RNAcentral.